UGUGUAGAAAUGAACUCUCAUCAGAGUUUCAAAGGAAUUAAUGUUUUUUGGUAAAAUGUGCUAAUGUAAAGAGUUAGAAGAUUAGUGAUACAUAAUGAAAGCAAUGCAUUCUUUCGCAUGGAAAUGGGAAUAUAAUAAAUGUCCUGCAGGUGAUUGGCGUUGUAGCAAUUUUAUUGAAGAUUAAAGUUUGAUUGACCUUUGUUAGGGUGAUUAACCCUUCUGAAAUUAAAUUCAGAGCUGAAUUAUCCUGCUCAAUUUAAAUGCAAA
Chlorocebus sabaeus (green monkey) is the source of this 267-nucleotide unclassified non-coding RNA. NCBI's taxonomy places the organism in Eukaryota, Metazoa, Chordata, Mammalia, Primates, Cercopithecidae. The record is from Ensembl.